This 277-nucleotide long non-coding RNA is filed under the name Mytilus galloprovincialis (Mediterranean mussel). Lineage: Eukaryota; Metazoa; Mollusca; Bivalvia; Mytilida; Mytilidae. The record is from RNAcentral.
GGACGGUCCAUAUAUUCACUUUCCUCAUAUAAUUUUCAAUUGGGAUUUCUCUUGGGUAUAUCGCAUUCAUAAAAUGAUAUGUAUAGAUACAUCUCAAAUCAUCAUAAAUAGUCGAAAUGUGCAGUAGUUUUAUAUAUAAUUCUAAAUAUAGCUUUACACGGUAAAGUGUCUACAUCUUCGUUUUCACCUGUCUACUUUGUGUGAUGAGAAUUUUGAUCUUGGAACUAUUUCCUAAUAAUUUUAUUCAUUUUUUUUUUAUUGUUAACUUAAAAUGAAC